GCCCGAACGGCCGCGGGCGGCGCGGGACAGCGGGAAGGCGCGCGAGGGGCCGGGAGUGGAGCGGGUGGGGCUGGAUGUGUGCUGCAGUGACCGGACGAGCACAAAGCUGGGGGAAAAGUGAAGGGGACAGUGUCCCGGUGACAGCUCUCUGCUCCGCUCUGAGCGGGAGAGCCCUUCCCGAGCGAUUUUCAGUGCGCGGUGCAAUUCGUCUGUCUUUUUAAGCCUAGUUACCGCUGAAGAUAUCUUUUCCUGUGCUGGGGGCAGCUCCUGCUGCAUCACUGCUGCCCGGCUCUGCUGCGGGGGGGCUCAGGAGCGAGUGCCACAGAAGGAAGACGGCAGAUAACGUAUAGCACGUGUAACGAUUCACGUUAGUUACUUUGCGAGGGAUAAAAAGAAGCUUUUCUAAUAGGGUAACAGACAUGAAAACGCAGAGCUUUGGAACAGGUGCUCACAGAAAUAGGAGAGCCUCCCCACCUGGAAGUAUUGAGGAGACAUGUGGAUGUGGCACCGAGGGACCUGGUUUAGUGACUGGAAUCGGUCAGACUCCAAUUUCUAGAAUUAAUAUUUCUUUUCCAACAUGAGGAAAAUGAUGCUGUGCAGCAGGAACUGUUUAUUAUGAAGAACUGGUCCCAGAGCUGCAAGAAAGGCAGUGUAGGAAGGGGCACUGUCCAGUGCUUGUGGAAAACAGAUAGUCAUUGCCCAUGAGCUCGUGGCUGUCACUACUGCUGUUCAGACAGAAGGACAGAGAGACUGUAGCAGCAGAUAGGAAGAGCCUGAGGAGGGUGCAGAUGAGGUCAAACGCCGAAAUAUCUUGGUACAGGCUCUGGGUGGGAUGAUUAGUUGACAGCUGACAAGAGAGAUUAUGCUGAGAUACUGGACUCCAAUGGAAAGGCAACUUUUCUCCUCAAGGAUCCUAAAGACCCGUGUAGCUGUCAGCCUGCUGUCUCUGCCUUCUCCCAGCUGAUUCCCCUCUGCCAUAAAGAGGAGAUUUCAAGGGUAACCUGUCACCUCCUGCUCUUCUGUGCUGAGAAGUAGCCCCUGUGGGCACCACAAUAGAAGUGGCAGCUCUGAAAACUUAAGGGCAGCAUAUUAAUGCCUUCCUUGUGACUUUAAGCAGGGAGCCUACCUGAAGAUGGGACAAGGAUUCCCAAGGCCUGCUGCAGCCGAAUGCCCCACGGCCUAUGGAGGCUCAACCCCUGAGGAGGAGCUGGAGUGGCUUCAGGACCCUGCUUAGUGCACUGGAGCUGCCAUCUGCAGCUCAGGAUGGACAGCUAAUGCCAUUCAAGCAUAUAGCGAGUCCAGAAGGACAUCAUCAUGACGAGGAAGGUGUUGGCAAAAGGAGUGGCAGGGAACAAAAAGCACAAAAAAACUGAAGCUCACUGGGCUCCCUCAGGCCCUUCAGAAACUGAUGCAGUUUUGCUUCUUCCUUCAGAUUCUAUCACAAGUCUCGUAACAUUUGGUCUUUCUCCUGAGUAACUUUCUCACAGCCUGCACUCAAGGAAAACUUUCAUCAUCAUCUUCAAAGAUGGAAGCUAACUUUCAAAGAAAAGCACAAAAACAUAAAUCCUAGGAAUAUCAAUGCAAAAAAAAAUGCAAUUUAGAAACAAGCUUUGUGAAAUAUCUUGUGGCCAUUUUUUACAUCUGAGUUGUGGCUCUGGGCUUAUAUCUCAUUCUGAGCUUAGCCUUCUGCACAGAAGUUUCAAAAUUCCCCUCUCCCCCGUGGCCAUAAAAGAAAAGAGGGACUUCGCAAAUCCCAGCUCCGAGUAUGACCUGCAAGCUGAGCAUGAUCGAAUCAAGGGAAGUAUUGCUCAGAAUGAACUGCCUUGAAAUGUUUGUGCCUAUUUAUGAUGUCAGUUGAGGAAUGUUUUACAUAGGCUGAACUAGUGUGAGACUUAAAGGGGCCUUGCACAGGGGCUAAGACGUGGGCCUUCUCUCAACCCAUCCAUGGAAUGUGCUGCUCCUGCAGUAGGCCCCACAAGUGUGGGCUCCCACGUACACUGUUACUCUCAUUUAGCUCUCUGGUGGAAGUCAGUGGUUCAAGCGGAGCCUAAUCCUGACUUGCUAGGCAGACACUCAACAGUUUCAGGAUAUCCAAUUUUUCCAGGCUUUUCAUCAGAUUCCUUCUGAAAUGGGAGUCACAGCCCUGUGAUUGUCCUCUACUGGCUUGUAGGUAGUAGUGAUCUCCUGUCCUGCCAUGUAUGGUCCUCUCUGGCUGAAACAGUGAUUAGUAUUUUAGUAGUCCCUUCUGCCCACAAAACAGCAUUUCCUGUGCUCCAUAUUACUGCUUAUCCCGAGUAUUUCCAAAAGCUAUGCUUUUCUGUGAUAUAAGGGGAAAAAAACCUCCAACCAAACAUAAAGAAAUGUGAAAAGACAGUUCAUGUUGUGAUAUAUCAUUUUAUUCUUAUUUUUUGUAAUUAUGUGCCUAUUAAUCUGAUAUUUUUGUUUCAUAUUUUUCCUGCACUGCAAUAUAUGGGGAUCAUUUGUUUGGUUACUGUAGUAGAAACCUGAUGAAAUGGCACAAGUCUAUCAAAUAGGCACUGGAAUCAAGGGAUUUACUGGGCAAAGGCACCCCUGUGCUGCUAUAUGUAAAAACACUGAACAACUGAUCUGGUAAAAUAUACACCGACUUCAAGGGAAAUAGUAUAGAACACUUCAGAGCCUUGAGAAUGGCCAGACAUGAAUUAUGCCUAUAUAUGUCUACAUUACUAUUUUAUUGAGCAAGAUAAGGAUAAAAAGAGGAAAAUCAAUCAUAUUCAAGCAACCUAGAACUACCAAAUACAUCUUCAACUGCAUUAGGCAAAUAUUUUUAUCCAUUUAUGUGAACAAAUGCUUUGGCUUGAUCAUAAACAAAAUAAAAAUGUGUUUUUA
Long non-coding RNA from Gallus gallus (chicken), 2868 nucleotides. NCBI's taxonomy places the organism in Eukaryota, Metazoa, Chordata, Aves, Galliformes, Phasianidae. The record is from Ensembl.